AGCGUCAUUACACCUCUCAAGCGUAGCUGGUAUUGGGUGCUCGCCCCCUAGGCGUGCCCGAAUAGCAGUGGCGGUCCGGUGUGGAUUCAAGCGUAGUAAAUUUAUCAACCGCUUAGGAUGAAGCUCGCGGCCGGCCAAGAACCGCCCCCAACUCUCUCAUAAUUGACCUCGGAUCAGGUAGGGAUACCCGCUGAACUUAA
This 200-nucleotide unclassified non-coding RNA is filed under the name soil metagenome. Its description in RNAcentral is "partial contains internal transcribed spacer 2 and large subunit ribosomal RNA". The record is from RNAcentral.